Molecule: ribosomal RNA, 497 nt
Filed under: uncultured bacterium
Lineage: Bacteria
Description: partial 16S ribosomal RNA
Rfam family: Bacterial small subunit ribosomal RNA
Source: RNAcentral
GAUGAACGCUGGCGGCGUGCUUAAUACAUGCAAGUCGAGCGAACAGAUGAUGAUCUUGCUCCUCGCACGUGAGCCGCGGAGGUGUGAAUAACACGUGUAUAACCUACCUAUAAUAGUGGUAUAACUUCGGGAAACCGGAGCUAAUACCGUAGAAUAUCUUGAACCACAUUGUUGGAUAGUGAAAGACGGUUUUGCUGGCACGUAUAGAGGGAUCCGCGCCUCAUUAGCUAGUUGGUAAGUUAACGGGUUACCAAGGCAACCAGGCGUAGACGACCUGAGGGGGGGAUAGGCGACCCGGGAACUGAGCCAGCGUCAAGAGUCCUACGGGAGGGAGCAGUAGGCUAUGUUCCGCAACAGGCGAAAGUCUGGCGGAGUAACGCCGCGUGAGUGAUGACGGUCUUCGGAGCGUAAAAAUCUGUUACUAGGGAAGAACAAAUGUGUCAGUAGAUAUGCACGUCUUGACGGUAACUAAUCAGAAAGCAACGGCUAACUACGUG